Molecule: non-coding RNA, 69 nt
Organism: Podarcis lilfordi (Lilford's wall lizard)
Lineage: Eukaryota; Metazoa; Chordata; Lepidosauria; Squamata; Lacertidae
Source: the annotation of a GenBank genome assembly
GGCCAUAGCUCAGUGGUAGAGCACAUACUUUGCAUGCAGAAGGUCCAGGUUCAGUCUCUGGCAUCUCCA